This is a long non-coding RNA of Nicotiana tabacum (common tobacco), 1010 nucleotides long. RefSeq lists it as uncharacterized. NCBI's taxonomy places the organism in Eukaryota, Viridiplantae, Streptophyta, Magnoliopsida, Solanales, Solanaceae. The record is from RefSeq and is a predicted model, not a curated record.
CAAAUUAAAUGUUACCUAAUCAAAUAUGUUCCCGUUCCAAGUGCAUCGUGCGUAUAGCCUCAAUUCAAUCACUACGAUAGAGAGAUUUGACCUACCAACUACAAGUUCCGGUGCAAGAACGAUAGCCAAUUUAAAUGUUACCUAAACAAAUAGGUUCCCAUUCCAAGUGCAUAGUAUAGCCUCAAUUCAAUCAUUUUGAUAGAGAGAUUUGACCUACCAACUACAGGCUCAGGUACAAGAACGAUAUCCAGUGCUUGGUAAGAAAAUUAGGAGGCAACACUACUUCAAAAGAAAUCCUUUUAGUAAGGACAUCAGAAAGAAAACGAGAUCAAGCAACAAGAACGAUGCUAAAUCAAAGGAAGUCAAAGCCAUCAAAAAGGAAACAAAAUCAAGUUCAGGCGCUAAAGGAAGUCAAGGCUAAAUCAAAGGACAUCGAGGCUUUCAAGAAGGAAACAUAUCAAGUGCAGUUGCUAAAGAAUAUCAAGUCGUAUUUCAAAGAUUGAUUUUGAAUCUGAAGAUACUGAAGAUUGAUCAACCAAAUCAAGCCACAAAUCACUCUCUUGAAUAUGGAUAUGAAAGGGAAGGACGUAAACGAAUCCAGCCCAUCUCUUGUGCAGGAUUCAGAGGCACCCCUUGGGUCAAAUCUCUUAGAGUAUUAUGUGCCUCAAUCAAAGAUCAAUCUGCAACGGCUACUCAAACUCUCCUAUAAGAAGACUGGAAAACUCAAGAAGACGAUCACGCAACUACAUCAUUUGUUUCUAAGCCUUUCUAGUUUUUAGUACAAAUAUUGUAUUCUUGAGUCUACAAGUGUCACAAAAUAUAGGAAGAGUUAGAACACAAAACGAGAGUUGUGUCAACAUUGAAAAAAUCAUUGUUGCUGUAUAUCGUUGAUGGUGAACGUACUAAAACCAUCACUACUGCAAACAUUUAUCAAAGAUCUAAGAGAACCCUUAUAACCCAAGGGAACUGGACGUAGGUACCACAUCGGUACUGAACCAGUAUAAAAAUUA